CUAGCAGUAUCAGAGUUUGUAUCCUGGCUCAGGACGAACGCUGGCGGCGUGCCUACACAUGCAAGUCGAACGGAGGUUAACCUUCGGGUUAACUUAGUGGCGAACGGGUGAGUAACGCGUGAGGAAUCUGCCUUUCAGUGGGGGACAACAGUUGGAAACGACUGCUAAUACCGCAUAAUGUUAUUUGGGGGCAUCCCCAGAUAACCAAAGAUUUAUUGCUGAAAGAUGACCUCGCGUCUGAUUAGAUAGUUGGUGAGGUAACGGCUCACCAAGUCGACGAUCAGUAGCCGGACUGAGAGGUUGAACGGCCACAUUGGGACUGAGAUACGGCCCAG
Molecule: ribosomal RNA, 335 nt
Filed under: uncultured bacterium
Lineage: Bacteria
Description: bacterial SSU rRNA
Rfam family: Bacterial small subunit ribosomal RNA
Source: RNAcentral